Molecule: long non-coding RNA, 1893 nt
Organism: Brassica rapa (field mustard)
Lineage: Eukaryota; Viridiplantae; Streptophyta; Magnoliopsida; Brassicales; Brassicaceae
Source: RefSeq, a predicted model, not a curated record
AUACUAAAAGCCAGAUAUAAAGCCCUCUGAAGGGGUCUACGUCGGAUUAAAAAAUCCACCAAUUAAAUGAUUCCAUUUUGACACGUCGUAUAUGCUUUGGUCCACAUAAACGGGUCUUUCAUUUGGGCUAUGUUUACUUUUGAUCCGAUUCAAGCCGAUCUCGCUACGGCUGAAACGCGUGAAGUUUGUUUUUCCUCGACGAUUCCUCUUCGUCAUCACCGAUCAAAUUUUCCGCAUUUCACCGUUACCGUAAUCCACUCUUGCUCUUUAAUUCUGAUUUAAUGGUUUCUUCCACCUUCUCCUCUAUCUCCUUUUAUAUAAAGCCAACCCUACUUGAAACUAUGCAGAAGCAGCUACAUCUACAGGCAUGGAAUCCACCGGCAUGUCUCCCCUCUCCACCGGCAGGUAACUAUUUGUCUUCUUCUUCUUUGAGAAAGUGUUUCACUUUCAUGGCUAUUAUACUGUAUUUAGUGGAGUUUAGGUUCUGCUAUGAUCAUUUGUUUGCGAUUUUGGUUAUAAAAUUUGCAUUUUGUAUGUUGAAGGUUUUGCUUUUGGAAUCUAUGUUUAGAGGUGUCUUUUCUGUGCCUGUGAAUAAUCCUCACUUGCGCAAAUCUGGAAGCGUAUACUCAUGAGACGAAGGCUUGCACUGCGACUUCGUGUGCCUUAUCUAUACCCUCCUGAGGACGAAGCUGACGGAGGAGCACGUGAAGUCGAUCGUCUGCGACGCGGUCGAAAUCGAGAGGGAGAUUGUGUGCGACGACUUCCGUGUGCGUCGGUGGGGAUAAACCGUGAGCUGAUGAGUCAGUAUAUCGAGUUCGUGGCAGAUAGGCUUUUGGGUGCGCUUGGGUAAGGAAUGUGUACGGUGUGGAAAAUCUGUUUGAUUGGAUGGAGGUUAUUUCGCUUCUGGAGAAAACGAACUUCUUCGAGAAGAGAGUUGGUGACUACCAGAAAGCUUCUGUUAUGUCUAGCGUUAAUGGAGGCGGCGCGUUUGAUAAUCAUUGAAAUUCAUGGCUAGGUACUAUUGCCAAAUUGCGAAGCCCUUUUAGUCCUUAGCAGCCUCAAGGUUGCUCUGUAGGUUGGUGGUCUUUAUAUUUGUGGAAAGAUUGGAUGGGAAUCUGUAAUGAAAAUGGGACAAGACACACGAGAACAGUCAAGGAUGAAGAGGACAGUCUAAAGAGGAAGGUAAAGGAGACUAUGGAGAAAGCUUUCUGGGAUAUUGUGAUGGAAUCAAUGAAACUGGAGGAGCCUGGGACGAGCUUUGCCAGAUGGUGCCUGAUAGCUGGAAAGUGGAAAUAACUGAAACUAUUGAUCUUGACCUACUCUCACAUGUUUGGCUCAUCUCUUCUGAUCUUUAGUGACUGAUCUGUUUAUAUAUAUAUUUCAACUGAUGUGGUUCUCAUUUCUUCUUUAUGUUGGUAGUUGCUUAAAUUUGGCACCUUGGAUAUUGAUUACCUUGGAAAGAUGCUUGAGUUUGCAUUAGCUACUCUUCGGAAACUCUCGGCUCCAGCUAAUGGCCGUGAGAAUAAAAGCACCCACCAGAGUUUACUGGAGGAACUUCACAGGUUGUGUCAAGCUAAAGAUGAGUCUGGUAGCCUCCAUGCUGUUGCAAUUGUCAAGGGGAUCCCCUUCAUUCUUGAGCAGAUUCACGUCUGUAUCCGUAAUACUUAUGUGAAUUAUUUUAGAUAAAUAGUUUUUAAUACUAAACAAGUCAUGCUCUUAACUAAAAUAAAUUAACUUAAUAUUUAUAUUUAUUUGACGAACAUCAAAUUUAUUUGAUUUACAAGAACAUAAACAUUACAUAAUAUCAUUUCACAAAGUAAAUUAACGAAUAAUCUAUAAACACAUAUGCAAAAUUAUAAAAAUAUAUAGGAAAACUAUAAGGAAAUAUAAAAA